CUGGUCGCCGCUCUGCAAGUCGCUGCUGCUGCUGGAUCGCCGGUCGCCGCUGCUGCUGGAUCUGCAAGUCGCCGCGCUGCCGGUCGCCGCUGCUGCUCGUUCUGCCGUUCGCCGCUGCUGCCGAUCUGCAAGUCGCGCCGGAUCUUCCUUCGGUGGCGGCAGACCGUGAAGAGAGGCGUCAAGGUCUGGUGGCCGGGAUCCGACUGCGCG
This 210-nucleotide long non-coding RNA is filed under the name Salvia miltiorrhiza (redroot sage). RNAcentral describes it as "long non-coding RNA (SMIL_LNC003639)". Lineage: Eukaryota; Viridiplantae; Streptophyta; Magnoliopsida; Lamiales; Lamiaceae. The record is from RNAcentral.